RNAcentral lists this long non-coding RNA (507 nucleotides) under Setaria italica (foxtail millet). RNAcentral's name for it is "long non-coding RNA (SITA_LNC007298)". Lineage: Eukaryota; Viridiplantae; Streptophyta; Magnoliopsida; Poales; Poaceae. The record is from RNAcentral.
AGAUCCGGAAACCCUAAUCCCCAACCCGAGAGCCGCGCCAAGCAGUACCCUCGCCGGCGGCCGCCGCCGCCAUGUUCUCCGAGCGGGGAACGUUCAUCCGCCCCACCUCCUUCAACCCGCCCGUCCUACCACCCCCCGACACCGCCGCCUCCGUGCGGCGCCCCGGUUCUCCCGCCUGGGUCAUGCUCGACAAGGUCGCGUACAUCGGCGACCGGAAGAACGGGACGUUCGCUCAGGCCAUCACGCGCACGGGCCAAGCCGUCGGCGUCUCCCCCUGUGGCUCACCGACCCGCCGGCCAUCUCCCACCUGUGCUUCCACCUCUCGGACCUGAAGGUGACCGACGUCAUGGACGAGCCUGUCGUUCUCUGCUUGGGUAAGGACACCGCCAUCAUCCGCGUCGUCUACAACCUCGGCUUCAGGCCCGCAGCGUCCGUGCACGACAUGGGGAUGGCCGACUGCGACUACUUAGUUUACAGAGCCCACACCGAGCCCCCAUCGCUCGAUGU